Molecule: long non-coding RNA, 1000 nt
Filed under: Populus trichocarpa (black cottonwood)
Lineage: Eukaryota; Viridiplantae; Streptophyta; Magnoliopsida; Malpighiales; Salicaceae
Description: long non-coding RNA (PTRI_LNC003552)
Source: RNAcentral
AUCAUCUUUCCUUUGCCCACCGCACCGUCCCUCCCCUGUGCCCUCUUGUUCUGUAAGUAUUUUUAAGUUUUUCAUGAGAUGUCCGUAUUCAUGUCAACUUGACCACCAAUCCACAUGUAUUUAUGCUAUUUCCAUUUUAAAUUCAAGUGAUUAGCACUCCCUAACAAGAACAGGGAGAUUAUUGAUUCCGUAAUGCAGUAUUGAAGGCUCUCUUUCAAGGUAUUAAUUUCAGACAAAAAAAAACACAUUAAAUUGAUUUUAUUAUUUUAAUAUUUAUGAUAGUUUCGGCGCAUAUUUAAUUAUAUAUAUUUUCAUGGGUUUAACCCUAAUCAGAUUUGACAACUAUACAUGCUGUAUACAUAGCUCAUGCUUCGAAUUGAGUGAGCACAUCAAACGGCGAGCAUCUGUGACGAAAGACCAGCAAGAAAGAAAUCUGUGAGGUAAACAAGAACAUGACCAUUGUUUUAUAUGAUGGAGAUCAUCAGAUGUCGUCUGGUGGACCCAUGUUUUCACAUGCAAGACACGUUUCAGGAUCUGAUGCCCUGCACUGCUCACAGCAGUAUGAUCAGAGCCUUGAGUUUUUUUUUUUUUUUUUCCGAUGACUACUGUAUACAUACAUGAUGAUAAUUUAAUUUAAAAAACAAGGACCACUGCAUGCAGCUUCUUUUGGGUUUAAAAAUAUUGUAUUUAACCAUGGAGAUGCAUGUGCUGUGGCGUGCUCAGCUCGCACCUCUAUGCUUGCAUGGAGCUUUGUGGAUGGAUGGAUAGGACUUUGUUUUCUUCCCCACUUAAUUCAUGCUUUAUCCUUGGGAAUAUUAUUGAAUACAAUACCAAAUCCUUCCAUAUCACCCAUGGCGAUCCUGGGAAUGUGUAGUUUUCUUGGCGAAGCCAUCGAUGAUGAGUGCAAGGGGAGGCCGAUGAGGAUAUAUAGGGUGAUGAUCAGCUGCAGGUCAAUGUAUAUUUAAAAGAGCAGCACAGUAACCCUUGAUUAAUUAACCAC